GGCGUGCCUAACACAUGCAAGUACGAACGGGAACCCUUGGAUUCGUCUGGGGGGGAGAGUGGCGGACGGGUGAGUAACACGUAGGUGAUCUGCCCCAAAGCGGGGAAUAACCAUUGGAAACGGUGGCUAAUACCCCAUGUGCUCGGGAGUUCAGUCUGUCGAGUAAAGCUCCGGCGCUUUGGGAUGAGCCUGCGGCCCAUCAGGUAGUUGGUAGGGUAAUGGCCUACCAAGCCAAUGACGGGUAGGGGGCGUGAGAGCGUGAUCCCCCACACUGGCACUGAGACACGGGCCAGACUCCUACGGGAGGCAGCAGUGAGGAAUAUUGCCCAAUGGACGAAAGUCUGAGGCAGCAACGCCGCGUGAGCGAUGAAGGCCUUCGGGUUGUAAAGCUCUUUUCUGGGGGACGAGGAAGGACGGUACCUCAGGAAUAAGUCACGGCUAACUACGUGCCAGCAGCCGCGGUAAUACGUAGGUGGCGAGCGUUAUCCGGAUUUACUGGGCGUAAAGCGCGUGUAGGCGGUUUCGUAAGUCGGAUGUGAAAGCUCCUGGCUCACUGGGAGAGGCCAUUCGAUACUGCGGGACUUG
Molecule: ribosomal RNA, 585 nt
Filed under: uncultured Chloroflexaceae bacterium
Lineage: Bacteria; Bacillati; Chloroflexota; Chloroflexia; Chloroflexales; Chloroflexaceae
Description: bacterial SSU rRNA
Rfam family: Bacterial small subunit ribosomal RNA
Source: RNAcentral